AUACGUAGGGGGCGAGCGUUGCUCGGAAUUACUGGGCGUAAAGGGUGUGUAGGUGGCUGAUCAAGUCAAGGAUGAAAUCCCGAGGCUUAACUUCGGAAUUGUCCUUGAAACUGAUCGGCUAGAGGUAAGUUGAGGAGAGCGGAAUUCCCGGUGGAGCGGUGAAAUGCGUAGAUAUCGGGAGGAACACCUGAGGCGAUGGCGGUUCUCUAAACUUAUCCUGACACUGAGACACGAAAGCUAGGGGCGCGAACGGGAUUAGAUACCCCGGUAGUCCUAGCCGUAAACGAUGGACGCUAGAUGUUCCUGCAUUCAUGUGGGAGUGUCGAAGCUAACGCGUUAAGCGUCCCGCCUGGGGAGUACGGUCGCAAGGCUGAA
RNAcentral lists this ribosomal RNA (375 nucleotides) under uncultured bacterium. RNAcentral's name for it is "bacterial SSU rRNA". It matches the Rfam family "Bacterial small subunit ribosomal RNA", at positions 523 to 898 of the family's 1533-position model. The record is from RNAcentral.